GUUUGUGGUUAAGAUAUUUCUUCAUUUUAAAAAUUGACUUUAUUCAACCGUAGACAGUCACACACAUCAAAAUACAUGGUUCCUGCUGAUAGAGUCUGUAUAGUUAUCAGAUUUUCUGUGCGAUGGCUCCAUACAAG
This 137-nucleotide small nucleolar RNA is filed under the name Propithecus coquereli (Coquerel's sifaka). Lineage: Eukaryota; Metazoa; Chordata; Mammalia; Primates; Indriidae. The record is from RNAcentral.